CACCGUGUCACACUUCUGAGUGAUGUGAAUAACAGCAGAGGAAGCACUGAAGCACUGAAGACACAAAAAAAGCCCUUUGUGAGAAGGAGAUAUGGAGAACCUCUGCAUCUGGACUUGUGUUUAUAUGACUCUUUGCAUUACAUGCAGUCUGACUCAAGAACAGAGGAAGGAGUAUUUCGACUUGAACAGCAGUGUGAAUUUGACCUGCAUCAGUAAAAACUUGUCAUCGAUUCUGCACAAUAUAUGGAAGAUUCACAUCAAUAAUUUCAAGUGUGUAAUAGCAUCUGCUAUUGAUGAAGAUGAAAAAGAUACUUGUAAGGAUGGAAAAGUACUUCACAGCAUGAAUAAUGGAGAAUCCUACCUUCACAUUCCUCGCUUUACAAAAAAAGAUGAAGGACUUUAUCACUGUGAGACAGUGUACAGAGGGGGACGUCACUCCGCAGAAAUCAAAGUGUACGCUAGAGCCUCCCUAAGCAUAUCCACCAGGCUGGAUGCAGACCACAGGGUCGCUGUGUGUUCAGCCACAGGAGCUCCUCCAGGUGUCUCCAUCUCAUGGAGGACAUCAUGGAACUCAACCGGUAACCAGAACUGCACACCAAACCCAGAUGGCACCUUCGACAUGGAGAGCCGUGUCAGCCUGCCUGAUGGUGUCAAUAAAACUGACCUGGAGUGUAUCGUCACACAUCCUGACUGGAACAAGAACCACACUGAGAUACUUCAUGUUCCUUCUUUGCUCAGUACGUGUCAGUGGUUUUGUGAAACUUUUAAACUCUUUGACUAAUUUUGGUACAUUUGGGACAAAAGUGACUUCUCUAGGACACCUUAUAGCGUGAAGUUACUUACAGUAACUUACCCAUUAUUAUAGCUGCGGAAUUUCUAAAUUGAGCAAUAAAGAGUAAGUACCUUGUACA
RNAcentral lists this long non-coding RNA (911 nucleotides) under Scleropages formosus (Asian bonytongue). RNAcentral's name for it is "lncRNA (ENSSFOG00015026107.1)". Lineage: Eukaryota; Metazoa; Chordata; Actinopteri; Osteoglossiformes; Osteoglossidae. The record is from RNAcentral.